This 253-nucleotide ribosomal RNA is filed under the name uncultured bacterium. Its description in RNAcentral is "partial 16S ribosomal RNA". It matches the Rfam family "Bacterial small subunit ribosomal RNA", at positions 524 to 776 of the family's 1533-position model. The record is from RNAcentral.
UACGAAGGGGGCUAGCGUUGCUCGGAAUCACUGGGCGUAAAGCGCACGUAGGCGGCUUCUUAAGUCAGGGGUGAAGUCCUGGAGCUCAACUCCAGAACUGCCUUUGAUACUGAGAAGCUUGAGUCCGGGAGAGGUGAGUGGAACUGCGAGUGUAGAGGUGAAAUUCGUAGAUAUUGGGAAGAACACCAGUGGCGAAGGCGGCUCACUGGCCCGUAACUGACGCUGAGGUGCGAAAGCGUGGGGAGCAAACAGG